This 460-nucleotide ribosomal RNA is filed under the name uncultured bacterium. RNAcentral's name for it is "partial 16S ribosomal RNA". It matches the Rfam family "Bacterial small subunit ribosomal RNA", at positions 338 to 795 of the family's 1533-position model. The record is from RNAcentral.
CCUACGGGAGGCAGCAGUGAGGAAUAUUGGUCAAUGGCCGGAAGGCUGAACCAGCCAUGCCGCGUGAAGGUCAGUGCCCUAUGGGCGUUAAACUUCUUUUGUGCGGGAGCAAUAAUGGUCACGUGUGGCCAAACGAGAGUACCGUACGAAUAAGCAUCAGCAAACUCCGUGCCAGCAGCCGCGGUAAUACGGGGGAUGCAAGCGUUAUCCGGGUGUAUUGGGUUUAAAGGGUGCGUAGGCUGUGAGGUAAGUCAGCGGUGAAAUGCCCCCGCUCAACGGGGUGAAGUGCCAUUGUUACUGCCUGGCUGGAAUGCGGAUGCCGUGGGAGGAAUGUGUGGUAUAGCGGUGAAAUGCAUAGAUAUCACACAGAACACCGAUUGCGAAGGCAUCUCACGAAUCCGCGAUUGACGCUGAUGCACGAAAGCGUGGGUAUCAAACAGGAUUAGAUACCCGAGUAGUC